GGGGAGUGAAAUAGAACCUGAAACCGUGUACGUACAAGCAGUAGGAGCAGGCUUUGUCCUGUGACUGCGUACCUUUUGUAUAAUGGGUCAGCGACUUAUAUUCAGUGGCAAGGUUAACCAUCUAGGGGAGCCGUAGGGAAACCGAGUCUUAACUGGGCGUUCAGUCUCUGGAUAUAGACCCGAAACCAGGUGAUCUAGCCAUGGGCAGGUUGAAGGUUGAGUAACAUCAACUGGAGGACCGAACCGACUAAUGUUGAAAAAUUAGCGGAUGACUUGUGGCUAGGGGUGAAAGGCCAAUCAAACCUGGAGAUAGCUGGUUCUCCCCGAAAGCUAUUUAGGUAGCGCCUCGGACGAAUACUACUGGGGGUAGAGCACUGUUAAGGCUAGGGGGUCAUCCCGACUUACCAACCCUUUGCAAACUCCGAAUACCAGUAAGUACUAUCCGGGAGACACACGGCGGGUGCUAACGUCCGUCGUGGAGAGGGAAACAACCCAGACCGCCAGCUAAGGUCCCAAAUUACUACUAAGUGGGAAACGAUGUGGGAAGGCUCAGACAGCCAGGAUGUUGGCUUAGAAGCAGCCAUCAUUUAAAGAAAGCGUAAUAGCUCACUGGUCGAGUCGGCCUGCGCGGAAGAUGUAACGGGGCUAAGUAGUAAACCGAAGCUGCGGCAAUGUGCUUUUGCACAUUGGGUAGGGGAGCGUUCUGUAAGCGGUUGAAGGUGUGUGGUAACGCAUGCUGGACGUAUCAGAAGUGCGAAUGCUGACAUGAGUAACGAUAAAGGGGGUGAAAAACCUCCUCGCCGGAAGACCAAGGGUUCCUGUCCAACGUUAAUCGGGGCAGGGUAAGUCGACCCCUAAGGCGAGGCCGAAAGGCGUAGUCGAUGGGAAACGGGUUAAUAUUCCCGUACUUCUUACAAUUGCGAUGGGGGGACGGAGAAGGCUAGGUGGGCCUGGCGACGGUUGUCCAGGUUCAAGUGCGUAGGCUUGAGAGUUAGGUAAAUCCGGCUCUUUUUAAGGCUGAGACACGACGUCGAGCCACUACGGUGUGAAGUCAUUGAUGCCAUGCUUCCAGGAAAAGCCUCUAAGCUUCAGAUUGUAAGGAAUCGUACCCCAAACCGACACAGGUGGUCGGGUAGAGAAUACCAAGGCGCUUGAGAGAACUCGGGUGAAGGAACUAGGCAAAAUGGUACCGUAACUUCGGGAGAAGGUACGCUCUCGACGGUGAAGUCCCUCGCGGAUGGAGCUAUUGAGAGUCGCAGAUACCAGGUGGCUGCAACUGUUUAUUAAAAACACAGCACUGUGCAAAAUCGUAAGAUGACGUAUACGGUGUGACGCCUGCCCGGUGCCGGAAGGUUAAUUGAUGGGGUUAGACUUCGGUCGAAGCUCUUGAUCGAAGCCCCGGUAAACGGCGGCCGUAACUAUAACGGUCCUAAGGUAGCGAAAUUCCUUGUCGGGUAAGUUCCGACCUGCACGAAUGGCGUAAUGAUGGCCACGCUGUCUCCACCCGAGACUCAGUGAAAUUGAAAUCGCUGUGAAGAUGCAGUGUACCCGCGGCUAGACGGAAAGACCCCGUGAACCUUUACUACAGCUUGGCACUGAACAUUGACCCUACAUGUGUAGGAUAGGUGGGAGGCUUUGAAGCACGUACGCCAGUAUGUGUGGAGCCGUCCUUGAAAUACCACCCUUGUAGUGUUGAUGUUCUAACGUCGACCCCUUAUCGGGGUUGCGGACAGUGCCUGGUGGGUAGUUUGACUGGGGCGGUCUCCUCCCAAAGAGUAACGGAGGAGCACGAAGGUGGGCUAAUCACGGUUGGACAUCGUGAGGUUAGUGCAAUGGCAUAAGCCCGCUUGACUGCGAGAAUGACAAUUCGAGCAGGUGCGAAAGCAGGUCAUAGUGAUCCGGUGGUUCUGAAUGGAAGGGCCAUCGCUCAACGGAUAAAAGGUACUCCGGGGAUAACAGGCUGAUACCGCCCAAGAGUUCAUAUCGACGGCGGUGUUUGGCACCUCGAUGUCGGCUCAUCACAUCCUGGGGCUGAAGUCGGUCCCAAGGGUAUGGCUGUUCGCCAUUUAAAGUGGUACGCGAGCUGGGUUUAGAACGUCGUGAGACAGUUCGGUCCCUAUCUGCCGUGGGCGUUGGAAGAUUGAAGGGGGCUGCUCCUAGUACGAGAGGACCGGAGUGGACGAACCUCUGGUGUUCGGGUUGUGUCGCCAGACGCAUUGCCCGGUAGCUAAGUUCGGAAUCGAUAACCGCUGAAAGCAUCUAAGCGGGAAGCGAGCCCUGAGAUGAGUCUUCCCUGAUACUUUAAGUAUCCUAAAGGGUUGUCGGAGACUACGACGUUGAUAGGCAGGUGUGUAAGUGCUGUGAGGCAUUGAGCUAACUGAUACUAAUUGCCCGUGAGGCUUAACCAUACAACACCUAAGGGGUUU
RNAcentral lists this ribosomal RNA (2426 nucleotides) under Vibrio parahaemolyticus. Its description in RNAcentral is "bacterial LSU rRNA". It matches the Rfam family "Bacterial large subunit ribosomal RNA", at positions 533 to 2925 of the family's 2925-position model. Lineage: Bacteria; Pseudomonadati; Pseudomonadota; Gammaproteobacteria; Vibrionales; Vibrionaceae. The record is from RNAcentral.